GAUGAACGCUGGCGGCGUGCCUAAUACAUGCAAGUCGAGCGAACGGACGAGAAGCUUGCUUCUCUGAUGUUAGCGGCGGACGGGUGAGUAACACGUGGAUAACCUACCUAUAAGACUGGGAUAACUUCGGGAAACCGGAGCUCACACCGGAUAAUAUUUUGAACCUCAUGGUUCAACAGUGAAAGACGGUCUUGCUGUCACUUAUAGAUGUAUCCGCGCUGCAUUAGCUAGUUGGUAAGGUAACGGCUUACCAAGGCGACGAUGCAUAGCCGACCUGAGAGGGUGAUCGGCCACACUGGAACUGAGACACGGUCCAGACUCCUACGGGAGGCAGCAGUAGGGAAUCUUCCGCAAUGGGCGAAAGCCUGACGGAGCAACGCCGCGUGAGUGAUGAAGGUCUUCGGAUCGUAAAGCUCUGUUAGUAGGGAAGAACGUAUGUGUAAGUAACUGUGCACAUCUUGACGGUACCUAAUGAGAAAGCAACGGCUAACUACGUG
This 497-nucleotide ribosomal RNA is filed under the name uncultured bacterium. RNAcentral's name for it is "partial 16S ribosomal RNA". It matches the Rfam family "Bacterial small subunit ribosomal RNA", at positions 28 to 507 of the family's 1533-position model. The record is from RNAcentral.